This 426-nucleotide ribosomal RNA is filed under the name uncultured soil bacterium. RNAcentral's name for it is "bacterial SSU rRNA". It matches the Rfam family "Bacterial small subunit ribosomal RNA", at positions 26 to 461 of the family's 1533-position model. The record is from RNAcentral.
AGAUUGAACGCUGGCGGCAUGCCUAACACAUGCAAGUCGAACGGGAGUAGCAAUACUCUAGUGGCGGACGGGUGAGGAAUACGUAGGAAUUUGCCCUUAAGUGGGGGAUAACCCGGGGAAACCCGGAUUAAUACCGCAUGACCUCGAAAGAGCAAAGUGGGGGAUCGCAAGACCUCACGCUUUUGGAGAAGCCUACGUCGGAUUAGCUAGUUGGUGAGGUAAUGGCUCACCAAGGCGACGAUCCGUAACUGGUCUGAGAGGAUGAUCAGUCACACCGGACUGAGACACGGUCCGGACUCCUACGGGAGCAGCAGGUGGGAAUAGUUAGGACAAUGGGCGCAAGCCUGAUCCAGCAAUGCCGCGUGUGUGAAAGGAGGUCCGUUCGGGUUAGUAAGUACUAAGUUUAGUUAAGGGUAAGUAAAAAAC